CCUACGGGAGGCUGCAGUGAGGAAUAUUGGUCAAUGGACGAGAGUCUGAACCAGCCAAGUAGCGUGAAGGAUGACUGCCCUAUGGGUUGUAAACUUCUUUUAUAUGGGAAUAAAAUGUUCCACGUGUGGGAUUUUGUAUGUACCAUAUGAAUAAGGAUCGGCUAACUCCGUGCCAGCAGCCGCGGUAAUACGGAGGAUCCGAGCGUUAUCCGGAUUUAUUGGGUUUAAAGGGAGCGUAGGUGGAUUGUUAAGUCAGUUGUGAAAGUUUGCGGCUCAACCGUAAAAUUGCAGUUGAAACUGGCAGUCUUGAGUACAGUAGAGGUGGGCGGAAUUCGUGGUGUAGCGGUGAAAUGCUUAGAUAUCACGAAGAACUCCGAUUGCGAAGGCAGUUCACUGGACUGCAACUGACACUGAGGCUCGAAAGUGUGGGUAUCAAACUGGAUUAGAUACCCUAGUAGUC
Molecule: ribosomal RNA, 460 nt
Filed under: uncultured bacterium
Lineage: Bacteria
Description: partial 16S ribosomal RNA
Rfam family: Bacterial small subunit ribosomal RNA
Source: RNAcentral